CCCGAGCUCCCGAAUGACAGCCCCUGCACCCUCCACCCCACCUCGCACUCCUCGGCCUCCCGUUCCCAGCGCUGGGAUUUUUUGGCACAGCGGGCCAAAGUCCGGGGGUGGGGGGCAGCCUGCGCUGCCGGAGACCAGCGGCAGGUGCGACCAGGUACUAAGAUGGAAACCUGUACGGAGAAAACUUGUUCUCAGAGGCUUGCUGCGUUAGCCAGAAGUGGACCAAAGCCCUGAGAGUUUGGGAAACGGAGCAGUUUUUGGACAAUGUGAGGCCAAGAUCAAAGGUUAAAGCCGUGCAAAGGAAAUGCAGAACUGAGAGGUGGAAAAGAGAAUCGGAUCCAGCCCCUGACUCCAGACAGCAGACGUGUCAUUGCCAUUUCACAAUUAAAGCGGAAAGGCUUUGUUA
Long non-coding RNA from Callorhinus ursinus (northern fur seal), 406 nucleotides. RefSeq lists it as uncharacterized. NCBI's taxonomy places the organism in Eukaryota, Metazoa, Chordata, Mammalia, Carnivora, Otariidae. The record is from RefSeq and is a predicted model, not a curated record.